UACGAAGGGGGCUAGCGUUGCUCGGAAUCACUGGGCGUAAAGGGUGCGUAGGCGGGUCUUUAAGUCAGGGGUGAAAUCCUGGAGCUCAACUCCAGAACUGCCUUUGAUACUGAGGAUCUUGAGUACGGGAGAGGUGAGUGGAACUGCGAGUGUAGAGGUGAGAUUCGUAGAUAUUCGCAAGAACACCAGUGGCGAAGGCGGCUCACUGGCCCGUAACUGACGCUGAGGCGCGAAAGCUAGGGGAGCAAACGGG
RNAcentral lists this ribosomal RNA (253 nucleotides) under uncultured bacterium. Its description in RNAcentral is "partial 16S ribosomal RNA". It matches the Rfam family "Bacterial small subunit ribosomal RNA", at positions 524 to 776 of the family's 1533-position model. The record is from RNAcentral.